UGAGGUGCUUGCACCUUAUCUUAGCGGCGGACGGGUGAGUAAUGCUUAGGAAUCUGCCUAUUAGUGGGGGACAACAUUCCGAAAGGAAUGCUAAUACCGCAUACGUCCUACGGGAGAAAGCAGGGGAUCUUCGGACCUUGCGCUAAUAGAUGAGCCUAAGUCGGAUUAGCUAGUUGGUGGGGUAAAGGCCUACCAAGGCGACGAUCUGUAGCGGGUCUGAGAGGAUGAUCCGCCACACUGGGACUGAGACACGGCCCAGACUCCUACGGGAGGCAGCAGUGGGGAAUAUUGGACAAUGGGGGGAACCCUGAUCCAGCCAUGCCGCGUGUGUGAAGAAGGCCUUAUGGUUGUAAAGCACUUUAAGCGAGGAGGAGGCUACUGAGACUAAUACUCUUGGAUAGUGGACGUUACUCGCAGAAUAAGCACCGGCUAACUCUGUGCCAGCAGCCGCGGUAAUACAGAGGGUGCGAGCGUUAAUCGGAUUUACUGGGCGUAAAGCGUGCGUAGGCGGCUUUUUAAGUCGGAUGUGAAAUCCCCGAGCUUAACUUGGGAAUUGCAUUCGAUACUGGGAAGCUAGAGUAUGGGAGAGGAUGGUAGAAUUCCAGGUGUAGCGGUGAAAUGCGUAGAGAUCUGGAGGAAUACCGAUGGCGAAGGCAGCCAUCUGGCCUAAUACUGACGCUGAGGUACGAAAGCAUGGGGAGCAAACAGGAUUAGAUACCCUGGUAGUCCAUGCCGUAAACGAUGUCUACU
Molecule: ribosomal RNA, 750 nt
Filed under: uncultured bacterium
Lineage: Bacteria
Description: bacterial SSU rRNA
Rfam family: Bacterial small subunit ribosomal RNA
Source: RNAcentral